GGGUCGAUGUCCGAGUGGUUAAAGGAGGCGGAUUGUAAAUCCGCUGGCUACGCCUACGCUGGUUCGAAUCCUGCUCGACCCA
Molecule: transfer RNA, 82 nt
Filed under: Carteria sp. SAG 8-5
Lineage: Eukaryota; Viridiplantae; Chlorophyta; Chlorophyceae; Chlamydomonadales; Chlamydomonadaceae
Description: tRNA-Tyr
Rfam family: tRNA
About the family: Transfer RNA (tRNA) molecules are approximately 80 nucleotides in length. Their secondary structure includes four short double-helical elements and three loops (D, anti-codon, and T loops).
Source: RNAcentral